UUAGGACGGGGAUAGACCCGGGAAACUGGGUAUAAUACCCGAUAGGUCUCGAUUGCUGGAAUGCAUCGAGAUUUAAAGCUCCGGCGCCUAAGGAUGGGUCUGCGGCCUAUCAGGUAGUAGUGGGUGUAGCGUACCUACUAGCCUACGACGGGUACGGGUUGUGAGAGCAAGAGCCCGGAGAUGGAUUCUGAGACACGAAUCCAGGCCCUACGGGGUGCAGCAGGCGCGAAAACUUUACAAUGCUGGCAACAGCGAUAAGGGAACCUCGAGUGCCAGGUUACAAAUCUGGCUGUCGAGAUGCCUAAAAAGCAUUUCAUAGCAAGGGCCGGGCAAGACCGGUGCCAGCCGCCGCGGUAACACCGGCGGCUCGAGUGGUAACCGUUAUUAUUGGGUCUAAAGGGUCUGUAGCCGGCCGGAUAAGUCUCUUGAGAAAUCUGGCAGCUUAACUGUCAGGCUUUCAGGAGAUACUGUCUGGCUCGAGGCCGGGAGAGGUGAGAGGUACUUCAGGGGUAGGGGUGAAAUCUUGUAAUCCUUGAAGGACCACCAGUGGCGAAGGCGUCUCACCAGAACGGACCUGACGGCAAGGGACGAAAGCUAGGGGCACGAACCGGAUUAGAUACCCGGGUAGUCCUAGCCGUAAACGAUACUCGCUAGGUGUCGGCCACGGUGCGACCGUUGUCGGUGCCGUAGGGAAGCCGUGAAGCGAGC
Molecule: ribosomal RNA, 708 nt
Filed under: uncultured archaeon
Lineage: Archaea
Description: bacterial SSU rRNA
Rfam family: Archaeal small subunit ribosomal RNA
Source: RNAcentral